Molecule: ribosomal RNA, 468 nt
Filed under: uncultured bacterium
Lineage: Bacteria
Description: partial 16S ribosomal RNA
Rfam family: Bacterial small subunit ribosomal RNA
Source: RNAcentral
GACGAACGCUGGCGGCGUGCUUAACACAUGCAAGUCGAACGGAAAGGCCCUGCUUUUGUGGGGUGCUCGAGUGGCGAACGGGUGAGUAACACGUGAGUAACCUGCCCUUGACUUUGGGAUAACUUCAGGAAACUGGGGCUAAUACCGGAUAGGAGCUCCUGCUGCAUGGUGGGGGUUGGAAAGUUUCGGCGGUUGGGGAUGGACUCGCGGCUUAUCAGCUUGUUGGUGGGGUAGUGGCUUACCAAGGCUUUGACGGGUAGCCGGCCUGAGAGGGUGACCGGCCACAUUGGGACUGAGAUACGGACCAGACUCCUACGGGAGGCAGCAGUGGGGAAUAUUGCACAAUGGGCGGAAGCCUGAUGCAGCAACGCCGCGUGCGGGAUGACGGCCUUCGGGUUGUAAACCGCUUUCGCCUGUGACGAAGCGUGAGUAACGGUAAUGGGUAAAGAAGCACCGGCUAACUACGUG